CUUCUUCAAUCUGCUGUGGACAGAUAAAGUGAAUAUGUGAAUCAAUGCCACCUGCGGUCAAUAUCGAGCCUUCACCUGCCAGCACUUCAGUGCCGGGACCGAUCACUAUGGUGACGCCGGGUUGAAUAUCUGGGUUGCCCGCCUUACCAAUCGCCAUAAUGCGACCGUCUUUGACGGCGACAUCCGCUUUGACGAUUCCCCAGUAAUCAAGCACAACGGCGUUGGUGAUCACCAAAUCGGGGGUUUCGCUGCUAGGUCGUUGGCUCUGACCCAUACCAUCACG
Molecule: small RNA, 283 nt
Filed under: Vibrio hippocampi
Lineage: Bacteria; Pseudomonadati; Pseudomonadota; Gammaproteobacteria; Vibrionales; Vibrionaceae
Description: 5_ureB_sRNA
Rfam family: 5' ureB small RNA
Source: RNAcentral